RNAcentral lists this small RNA (719 nucleotides) under Russula afroscrobiculata. RNAcentral's name for it is "eukaryotic LSU rRNA". The stretch from base 267 to 420 matches the Rfam family "5.8S ribosomal RNA". The record is from RNAcentral. Lineage: Eukaryota; Fungi; Basidiomycota; Agaricomycetes; Russulales; Russulaceae.
CAUUUAGAGGAAGUAAAAGUCGUAACAAGGUUUCCGUAGGUGAACCUGCGGAAGGAUCAUUAUCGUGCCAAAAACGGCACGAAGGGCUGUCGCUGACCUUUUAGGUCGUGCACGCCCAGGAGUGCCCUCCUCUAAUGAAAAUACCCAUCUCACCCUUUUGUGCAUCACCGCGUGGGCCUCCUUAGGGGGGCUCGCGUUUUACACAAAAACCCCAUAGUAAAAGUGUAGAAUGUCCUCCAUUUUUGCGAUGAUACGCAAUCAAAUACAACUUUCAACAACGGAUCUCUUGGCUCUCGCAUCGAUGAAGAACGCAGCGAAAUGCGAUACGUAAUGUGAAUUGCAGAAUUCAGUGAAUCAUCGAAUCUUUGAACGCACCUUGCGCCCCUUGGCAUUCCGAGGGGCACACCCGUUUGAGUGUCGUGAAAUCCUCAACCUUCUUGGUUUUUUUUCGCUCGGGGAGGCUUGGACUUUGGAGGUUUUUGCUGGGCCCUUUUGAAGCCAGCUCCUCUCAAAUGAAUUAGCGGGGUCCCCUUUGCCGAUCCUCGACGUGUGAUAAGAGUUUCCAGCCUUGGGCUUGGCUCUGUCCCUUUUGGGACCUGCUUCCAAUCGUCUCUCGACGAGACAAGUGGUCGACCCGGACCCUUGACCUCAAAUCGGGUGAGACUACCCGCUGAACUUAAGCAUAUCAAUAAGCGGAGGAAAAGAAACUAACGCGUCUU